AACGAACGCUGGCGGCAUGCCUAACACAUGCCAGUCGAACGAUGCUUUCGGGCAUAGUGGCGCACGGGUGCGUAACGCGUGGGAAUCUGCCCUGGGGUUCGGGAUAACAGCGGGAAACUGCUGCUAAUACCGGAUGAUAUCGCGAGAUCAAAGAUUUAUCGCCCUGGGAUGAGCCCGCGUCGGAUUAGGUGGUUGGUGGGGUAAGAGCCUACCAAGCCGACGAUCCGUAGCUGGUCUGAGAGGAUGAUCAGCCACACUGGGACUGAGACACGGCCCAGACUCCUACGGGAGGCAGCAGUGGGGAAUAUUGGACAAUGGGCGCAAGCCUGAUCCAGCAAUGCCGCGUGAGUGAUGAAGGCCUUAGGGUUGUAAAGCUCUUUUACCCGGGAUGAUAAUGACAGUACCGGGAGAAUAAGCCCCGGCUAACUCCGUG
RNAcentral lists this ribosomal RNA (433 nucleotides) under uncultured bacterium. Its description in RNAcentral is "partial 16S ribosomal RNA". It matches the Rfam family "Bacterial small subunit ribosomal RNA", at positions 29 to 507 of the family's 1533-position model. The record is from RNAcentral.